AUGCAGCGAAUGCGACAGCUGAGGCUUAUGCAGGGAAUGCGACAGCUGAGGCUUAUGCAGCGAAUGAUGACAUUUCUUCUAACACUGGGUUAAUGGGGACCACUAUUGACGAUAGCAGCAAUGGAAACAGUACCAGUGAUGACUUCAGCUUCACCACUAUUGGCUCUGGUUUCAGUAAUGCCGAUGACUCUGGCAUCAGCAAUGGUGAGUUGCUAGCUAUAGGGAGACCAUGCUGUUGGUUUGGAAGUGAACAGGCAGCAGUGAAUUGGUAGAAAUAGUAUCGAAGUGAUGGUAUUCAUGGCAUGGCUUGCCUCAUCAAUAUUGGAAGGGGGGCAGGUACAUAGCCUGCUAAUGGCUGUUAACCUGGUUUUCAAGUGUUAGGGCCACUCCUUGCACUGUUUACGGUUUGGUAGCGCUGCCUGCCUAGGCCUCUUGAACCUGCUUUCUAAGCGUAUGCAAUGGAACUGGAAUACUAGCCAGUCCAGCUGCAGCUGAAUACCUUCCAAACCUCACAUAAGCAUUCCUUUCCUGCUCCGGAUCUUUGCCCAUGCUUCUAGUGUCCUCUUUUUGUACUUGCAGCUUCUGACAGUGGAGCUACUGCCACUGCCAUUGCAGGUGAGGGGAGC
This 626-nucleotide long non-coding RNA is filed under the name Volvox carteri. RNAcentral describes it as "long non-coding RNA (VCAR_LNC002017)". Lineage: Eukaryota; Viridiplantae; Chlorophyta; Chlorophyceae; Chlamydomonadales; Volvocaceae. The record is from RNAcentral.